This 261-nucleotide long non-coding RNA is filed under the name Elaeis guineensis (African oil palm). RNAcentral's name for it is "long non-coding RNA (EGUI_LNC025806)". Lineage: Eukaryota; Viridiplantae; Streptophyta; Magnoliopsida; Arecales; Arecaceae. The record is from RNAcentral.
UACCACUAGAAUAACACUAAGAAGAUACUCUUUAGAUGUCUCACAAUCUAGGAUUUGAUUUUUAGCUCUAACACAUGAAAAAAUCAAACCUUAGGGCACACUAGCAACCCUUGCCAAAAAUCUCAUCACCCUUCUUGCAACUUUUGCCACUCAAUUUUCUCUUGCCUUUUUCUCAAAUUUUUUUUAAAAUUUUUUUUGAUGAUUUCCAUAUCCCUCCUCUCUAGUUUCAAUCUAAAAUCAUAGCACCCAACCAUAUAGGAC